UACGGGGGGCGCAAGCGUUGUUCGGAAUCACUGGGCGUAAAGGGCUUCUAGGCGGUUUGGUACGUGGGAUGUGAAAUCCCCGGGCUCACCCCGGGACCUGCAGCCCAAACUGCUGAGCUUGAGUACAGGAGAGGGUGGGGGAAUUCCAGGUGUAGCGGUGAAAUGCGUAGAUAUCUGGAGGAAUACCGGUGGCGAAGGCGGCAUCCUGGACCAUUACUGACGCUGAGGCGCGAAAGCUAGGGGAGCAAACGGG
This 253-nucleotide ribosomal RNA is filed under the name uncultured bacterium. RNAcentral's name for it is "partial 16S ribosomal RNA". It matches the Rfam family "Bacterial small subunit ribosomal RNA", at positions 524 to 776 of the family's 1533-position model. The record is from RNAcentral.